Pelobates cultripes (western spadefoot toad) is the source of this 110-nucleotide non-coding RNA. The record is from the annotation of a GenBank genome assembly. NCBI's taxonomy places the organism in Eukaryota, Metazoa, Chordata, Amphibia, Anura, Pelobatidae.
ACUUUCUGCCUCCCAGGUGUCUUUUAUACAGGUAACAAGCUGAGAUUAGGAGCACUCUCUUAAAGGGAUCUCAGCUUGUUACCUGUAUAAAAGACACUUGUCCACAGAAG